This 497-nucleotide ribosomal RNA is filed under the name uncultured bacterium. Its description in RNAcentral is "partial 16S ribosomal RNA". It matches the Rfam family "Bacterial small subunit ribosomal RNA", at positions 28 to 507 of the family's 1533-position model. The record is from RNAcentral.
GAUGAACGCUGGCGGCGUGCCUAAUACAUGCAAGUCGAGCGAACAGAUGAGGAGCUUGCUCCUCUGACGUUAGCGGCGGACGGGUGAGUAACAUGUGGAUAACCUACCUAUAAGACUGGGAUAACUUCGGGAAACCGGAGCUAAUACCGGAUAAUAUAUUGAACCGCAUGGUUCAAUAGUGAAAGACGGUUUUGCUGUCACUUAUAGAUGGAUCCGCGCCGCAUUAGCUAGUUGGUAAGGUAACGGCUUACCAAGGCAACGAUGCGUAGCCGACCUGAGAGGGUGGUCGGCCACACGGGAAGUGAGACACGGUCCAGACUCCUACGGUAGGCAGCAGUAGGGAAUCUUCCGCAAUGGGCGAGAGCCUGACGGAGCAACGCGGCGUGAGUGAUGAAGGUCUUCGGAUCGUAAAACUCUGUUAUUAGGGAAGAACAAAUGUGUAAGUAACUAUGCACGUCUUGACGGUACCUAAUCAGAAAGCCACGGCUAACUACGUG